Molecule: ribosomal RNA, 253 nt
Filed under: uncultured bacterium
Lineage: Bacteria
Description: partial 16S ribosomal RNA
Rfam family: Bacterial small subunit ribosomal RNA
Source: RNAcentral
UACAGAGGGCUCAAGCGUUGCUCGGAUUCAUUGGGCGUAAAGGGUGCGUAGGCGGCGCGGUAAGUCGGGUGUGAAAUCUCGGAGCUUAACUCCGAAACUGCAUUUGAUACUGGCGUGCUUGAGGACUGGAGAGGAGACUGGAAUUUACGGUGUAGCAGUGAAAUGCGUAGAGAUCGUAAGGAAGACCAGUGGCGAAGGCGGGUCUCUGGACAGUGCCUGACACUGAGGCACGAAGGCCAGGGGAGCAAACGGG